CCUAGCUUGCUAGGUGGAUUAGUGGCGAACGGGUGAGUAAUACGUGAGUAACCUACCUUUAACUCUGGGAUAAGCCUGGGAAACUGGGUCUAAUACCGGAUACGACCAAUCUCCGCAUGGGGUGUUGGUGGAAAGCGUUAUGUAGUGGUUAUAGAUGGGCUCACGGCCUAUCAGCUUGUUGGUGAGGUAACGGCUCACCAAGGCGACGACGGGUAGCCGGCCUGAGAGGGUGACCGGCCACACUGGGACUGAGACACGGCCCAGACUCCUACGGGAGGCAGCAGUGGGGAAUAUUGCACAAUGGGCGCAAGCCUGAUGCAGCGACGCCGCGUGAGGGAUGACGGCCUUCGGGUUGUAAACCUCUGUUAGCAGGGAAGAAGAGAGAUUGACGGUACCUGCAGAGAAAGCGCCGGCUAACUACGUGCCAGCAGCCGCGGUAAUACGUAGGGCGCGAGCGUUGUCCGGAAUUAUUGGGCGUAAAGAGCUUGUAGGCGGUUUGUCGCGUCUGCUGUG
Molecule: ribosomal RNA, 513 nt
Filed under: uncultured bacterium
Lineage: Bacteria
Description: bacterial SSU rRNA
Rfam family: Bacterial small subunit ribosomal RNA
Source: RNAcentral